AUGAAGCUGGAAUCGCUAGUAAUCGCAAGUCAGCAUACUGCGGUGAAUACGUUCCCGGGUCUUGUACACACCGCCCGUCACACCAUGGGAGCCGGAAAUGCCCGAAGCCAGUGACCCAACCUUAGGGAGGGAGCUGUCGAAGGUGGAGCCGGUAACUGGGGUGAAGUCGUAACAAGGUAUC
RNAcentral lists this ribosomal RNA (181 nucleotides) under uncultured bacterium. RNAcentral's name for it is "partial 16S ribosomal RNA". It matches the Rfam family "Bacterial small subunit ribosomal RNA", at positions 1320 to 1500 of the family's 1533-position model. The record is from RNAcentral.